GGUUAAGCGACUAAGCGUACACGGUGGAUGCCCUGGCAGUCAGAGGCGAUGAAGGACGUGCUAAUCUGCGAUAAGCGUCGGUAAGGUGAUAUGAACCGUUAUAACCGGCGAUUUCCGAAUGGGGAAACCCAGUGUGUUUCGACACACUAUCAUUAACUGAAUCCAUAGGUUAAUGAGGCGAACCGGGGGAACUGAAACAUCUAAGUACCCCGAGGAAAAGAAAUCAACCGAGAUUCCCCCAGUAGCGGCGAGCGAACGGGGAGCAGCCCAGAGCCUGAAUCAGUGUGUGUGUUAGUGGAAGCGUCUGGAAAGGCGCGCGAUACAGGGUGACAGCCCCGUACACAAAAAUGCACAUACUGUGAGCUCGAUGAGUAGGGCGGGACACGUGGUAUCCUGUCUGAAUAUGGGGGGACCAUCCUCCAAGGCUAAAUACUCCUGACUGACCGAUAGUGAACCAGUACCGUGAGGGAAAGGCGAAAAGAACCCCGGCGAGGGGAGUGAAAAAGAACCUGAAACCGUGUACGUACAAGCAGUGGGAGCCUCUUUAUGGGGUGACUGCGUACCUUUUGUAUAAUGGGUCAGCGACUUAUAUUCUGUAGCAAGGUUAACCGAAUAGGGGAGCCGAAGGGAAACCGAGUCUUAACUGGGCGUUAAGUUGCAGGGUAUAGACCCGAAACCCGGUGAUCUAGCCAUGGGCAGGUUGAAGGUUGGGUAACACUAACUGGAGGACCGAACCGACUAAUGUUGAAAAAUUAGCGGAUGACUUGUGGCUGGGGGUGAAAGGCCAAUCAAACCGGGAGAUAGCUGGUUCUCCCCGAAAGCUAUUUAGGUAGCGCCUCGUGAAUUCAUCUCCGGGGGUAGAGCACUGUUUCGGCAAGGGGGUCAUCCCGACUUACCAACCCGAUGCAAACUGCGAAUACCGGAGAAUGUUAUCACGGGAGACACACGGCGGGUGCUAACGUCCGUCGUGAAGAGGGAAACAACCCAGACCGCCAGCUAAGGUCCCAAAGUCAUGGUUAAGUGGGAAACGAUGUGGGAAGGCCCAGACAGCCAGGAUGUUGGCUUAGAAGCAGCCAUCAUUUAAAGAAAGCGUAAUAGCUCACUGGUCGAGUCGGCCUGCGCGGAAGAUGUAACGGGGCUAAACCAUGCACCGAAGCUGCGGCAGCGACACUAUGUGUUGUUGGGUAGGGGAGCGUUCUGUAAGCCUGUGAAGGUGUGCUGUGAGGUAUGCUGGAGGUAUCAGAAGUGCGAAUGCUGACAUAAGUAACGAUAAAGCGGGUGAAAAGCCCGCUCGCCGGAAGACCAAGGGUUCCUGUCCAACGUUAAUCGGGGCAGGGUGAGUCGACCCCUAAGGCGAGGCCGAAAGGCGUAGUCGAUGGGAAACAGGUUAAUAUUCCUGUACUUGGUGUUACUGCGAAGGGGGGACGGAGAAGGCUAUGUUGGCCGGGCGACGGUUGUCCCGGUUUAAGCGUGUAGGCUGGUUUUCCAGGCAAAUCCGGAAAAUCAAGGCUGAGGCGUGAUGACGAGGCACUACGGUGCUGAAGCAACAAAUGCCCUGCUUCCAGGAAAAGCCUCUAAGCAUCAGGUAACAUCAAAUCGUACCCCAAACCGACACAGGUGGUCAGGUAGAGAAUACCAAGGCGCUUGAGAGAACUCGGGUGAAGGAACUAGGCAAAAUGGUGCCGUAACUUCGGGAGAAGGCACGCUGAUAUGUAGGUGAAGUCCCUUGCGGAUGGAGCUGAAAUCAGUCGAAGAUACCAGCUGGCUGCAACUGUUUAUUAAAAACACAGCACUGUGCAAACACGAAAGUGGACGUAUACGGUGUGACGCCUGCCCGGUGCCGGAAGGUUAAUUGAUGGGGUUAGCGGUAACGCGAAGCUCUUGAUCGAAGCCCCGGUAAACGGCGGCCGUAACUAUAACGGUCCUAAGGUAGCGAAAUUCCUUGUCGGGUAAGUUCCGACCUGCACGAAUGGCGUAAUGAUGGCCAGGCUGUCUCCACCCGAGACUCAGUGAAAUUGAACUCGCUGUGAAGAUGCAGUGUACCCGCGGCAAGACGGAAAGACCCCGUGAACCUUUACUAUAGCUUGACACUGAACAUUGAGCCUUGAUGUGUAGGAUAGGUGGGAGGCUUUGAAGUGUGGACGCCAGUCUGCAUGGAGCCGACCUUGAAAUACCACCCUUUAAUGUUUGAUGUUCUAACGUUGACCCGUAAUCCGGGUUGCGGACAGUGUCUGGUGGGUAGUUUGACUGGGGCGGUCUCCUCCUAAAGAGUAACGGAGGAGCACGAAGGUUGGCUAAUCCUGGUCGGACAUCAGGAGGUUAGUGCAAUGGCAUAAGCCAGCUUGACUGCGAGCGUGACGGCGCGAGCAGGUGCGAAAGCAGGUCAUAGUGAUCCGGUGGUUCUGAAUGGAAGGGCCAUCGCUCAACGGAUAAAAGGUACUCCGGGGAUAACAGGCUGAUACCGCCCAAGAGUUCAUAUCGACGGCGGUGUUUGGCACCUCGAUGUCGGCUCAUCACAUCCUGGGGCUGAAGUAGGUCCCAAGGGUAUGGCUGUUCGCCAUUUAAAGUGGUACGCGAGCUGGGUUUAGAACGUCGUGAGACAGUUCGGUCCCUAUCUGCCGUGGGCGCUGGAGAACUGAGGGGGGCUGCUCCUAGUACGAGAGGACCGGAGUGGACGCAUCACUGGUGUUCGGGUUGUCAUGCCAAUGGCACUGCCCGGUAGCUAAAUGCGGAAGAGAUAAGUGCUGAAAGCAUCUAAGCACGAAACUUGCCCCGAGAUGAGUUCUCCCUGACUCCUUGAGAGUCCUGAAGGAACGUUGAAGACGACGACGUUGAUAGGCCGGGUGUGUGAGCGCAGCGAUGCGUUGAGCUAACCGGUACUAAUGAACCGUGAGGCUUAACCUU
RNAcentral lists this ribosomal RNA (2904 nucleotides) under Escherichia coli. Its description in RNAcentral is "23S ribosomal RNA". It matches the Rfam family "Bacterial large subunit ribosomal RNA". The record is from RNAcentral. Lineage: Bacteria; Pseudomonadati; Pseudomonadota; Gammaproteobacteria; Enterobacterales; Enterobacteriaceae.